GGGCGGGACACGUGGUAUCCUGUCUGAAUAUGGGGGGACCAUCCUCCAAGGCUAAAUACUCCUGACUGACCGAUAGUGAACCAGUACCGUGAGGGAAAGGCGAAAAGAACCCCGGCGAGGGGAGUGAAACAGAACCUGAAACCGUGUACGUACAAGCAGUGGGAGCCCCACCACCAAAGCGUUUCGCUUUGCGUGGUGCGCAAAAUGCGUAACGACAGCACGAUUGCGGUUAACGGAGCGUAAGCGACGUUCAACACAAAAAUCAGGCAGUGGAGCGUUUUGGGGUGGGGUGACUGCGUACCUUUUGUAUAAUGGGUCAGCGACUUAUAUUCUGUAGCAAGGUUAACCGCAUAGGGGAGCCGAAGGGAAACCGAGUCUUAACCGGGCGUUAAGUUGCAGGGUAUAGACCCGAAACCCGGUGAUCUAGCCAUGGGCAGGUUGAAGGUUGGGUAACACUAACUGGAGGACCGAACCGACUAAUGUUGAAAAAUUAGCGGAUGACCUGUGGCUGGGGGUGAAAGGCCAAUCAAACCGGGAGAUAGCUGGUUCUCCCCGAAAGCUAUUUAGGUAGCGCCUCGUGAAUUCAUCUCCGGGGGUAGAGCACUGUUUCGGCCAGGGGGCCAUCCCGGCUUACCAAUCCGAUGCAAACUGCGAAUACCGGAGAAUGUUAUCACGGGAGACACACGGCGGGUGCUAACGUCCGUCGUGAAGAGGGAAACAACCCAGACCGCCAGCUAAGGUCCCAAAGUCAUGGUUAAGUGGGAAACGAUGUGGGAAGGCCCAGACAGCCAGGAUGUUGGCUUAGAAGCAGCCAUCAUUUAAAGAAAGCGUAAUAGCUCACUGGUCGAGUCGGCCUGCGCGGAAGAUGUAACGGGGCUAAACCAUGCACCGAAGCUGCGGCAGCGACACUGAUGUGUUGUUGGGUAGGGGAGCGUUCUGUAAGCCGUUGAAGGUGUGUCGUGAGGCAUGCUGGAGGUAUCAGAAGUGCGAAUGCUGACAUAAGUAACGAUAAAGCGGGUGAAAAGCCCGCUCGCCGGAAGACCAAGGGUUCCUGUCCAACGUUAAUCGGGGCAGGGUGAGUCGACCCCUAAGGCGAGGCCGAAAGGCGUAGUCGAUGGGAAACGGGUUAAUAUUCCCGUACUUGGUGUUACUGCGA
Molecule: ribosomal RNA, 1156 nt
Filed under: Salmonella enterica subsp. houtenae
Lineage: Bacteria; Pseudomonadati; Pseudomonadota; Gammaproteobacteria; Enterobacterales; Enterobacteriaceae
Description: partial 23S ribosomal RNA
Rfam family: Bacterial large subunit ribosomal RNA
Source: RNAcentral